GCCGGGCGCGAUGGCUCACACUUGUAAUCCCAGCACUUUGGGAGGCCAAGGCGAGCGGAUGACCUGAGGUCAGGAGUUUGAGACCAACCUGGCCAACAUGGCGAAACCCCAUCUCUACUAAAAAAAAAAAAAAAAAAAAAAAAANNNNNNNNNNUUUAGUAGAGAUGGGGUUUCGCCAUGUUGGCCAGGUUGGUCUCAAACUCCUGACCUCAGGUCAUCCGCUCGCCUU
RNAcentral lists this signal recognition particle RNA (229 nucleotides) under Gorilla gorilla gorilla (western lowland gorilla). RNAcentral describes it as "Metazoan signal recognition particle RNA". It matches the Rfam family "Metazoan signal recognition particle RNA". Rfam says of the family: The signal recognition particle (SRP) is a universally conserved ribonucleoprotein. It is involved in the co-translational targeting of proteins to membranes. The eukaryotic SRP consists of a 300-nucleotide 7S RNA and six proteins: SRPs 72, 68, 54, 19, 14, and 9. The record is from Rfam by way of RNAcentral. Lineage: Eukaryota; Metazoa; Chordata; Mammalia; Primates; Hominidae.